This 254-nucleotide ribosomal RNA is filed under the name uncultured bacterium. RNAcentral describes it as "partial 16S ribosomal RNA". It matches the Rfam family "Bacterial small subunit ribosomal RNA", at positions 524 to 776 of the family's 1533-position model. The record is from RNAcentral.
UACGUAGGUGGCAAGCGUUGUCCGGAUUUAUUGGGCGUAAAGAGCUCGUAGGCGGUUCAGUAAGUCGGGUGUGAAAACUCUGGGCUUAACCCAGAGCCGCCACCCGAUACUGCUGUGACUAGAGUCCGGUAGGGGAGUGGGGAAUUCCUAGUGUAGCGGUGAAAUGCGCAGAUAUUAGGAGGAACACCGGUGGCGAAGGCGCCACUCUGGGCCGGAACUGACGCUGAGGAGCGAAAGCGUGGGGAGCAAACAGG